This 379-nucleotide ribosomal RNA is filed under the name uncultured eukaryote. Its description in RNAcentral is "partial 18S ribosomal RNA". It matches the Rfam family "Eukaryotic small subunit ribosomal RNA", at positions 592 to 976 of the family's 1831-position model. The record is from RNAcentral.
CAAUAGCGUAUAUUUAAGUUGCUGCAGUUAAAAAGCUCGUAGUUGGAUUUCGGGUGGGAAUGGCCGGUCCGCCGUUUCGGUGUGCACUUGCUACGCCCACCUUGCUGCCGGGGACGUGCUCUUGAGUUCACGCUCGGGACACGGAGUCGGCGAGGUUACUUUGAGUAAAUUAGAGUGUUCAAAGCAGGCCUACGCUCUGAAUACAUUAGCAUGGAAUAAUAAGAUAAGACUUUGGUGGUCUAUUUUGUUGGUUUGCACGCCAAAGUAAUGAUUAAUAGGGAUAGUUGGGGGUAUUCGUAUUCUAUUGCUAGAGGUGAAAUUCUUAAAUUUAUGGAAGACGAACUACUGCGAAAGCAUUUACCAAGGAUGUUUUCAUUAA